Molecule: ribosomal RNA, 468 nt
Filed under: uncultured bacterium
Lineage: Bacteria
Description: partial 16S ribosomal RNA
Rfam family: Bacterial small subunit ribosomal RNA
Source: RNAcentral
GACGAACGCUGGCGGCGUGCUUAACACAUGCAAGUCGAACGGCAAGGCCCUGCUUUUUUGGGGUGCUCGAGUGGCGAACGGGUGAGGAACACGUGAGUAACCUGCCCUUGACUUUGGGAUAACUUCAGGAAACUGGGGCUAAUACCGGAUAGGAGCUCCCGCUGCAGGGUGGGGGGUGGAAAGUUGCGGCGGGUGGGGAUGGACUCGCGGCUUAUCAGCUUGUUGGUGGGGGAGUGGCUUACCAAGGCUUUGACGGGUAGCCGGCAUGAGAGGGUGACCGGCGACAUUGGGACUGAGAUACGGCCCAGACUGCUACGGGAGGCAGCAGUGGGGAAUAUUGCACAAUGGGCGGAAGCCGGAUGCAGAAACGCCGCGUGCGGGAUGACGGUCUUCGGGUUGUAAACCGCUUCCGCCUGUGACGAAGCGUGAGUGACGGUAAUGGGUAAAGAAGCACCGGCUAACUACGUG